RNAcentral lists this ribosomal RNA (253 nucleotides) under uncultured bacterium. RNAcentral describes it as "partial 16S ribosomal RNA". It matches the Rfam family "Bacterial small subunit ribosomal RNA", at positions 524 to 776 of the family's 1533-position model. The record is from RNAcentral.
UACGUAGGGUGCAAGCGUUGUCCGGAAUUAUUGGGCGUAAAGAGCUCGUAGUCGGUCUGUCGCGUCUGCUGUGAAAACUCGGGGCUUAACCCCGGGCCUGCAGUGGGUACGGGCAGACUAGAGUGCGGUAGGGGAGACUGGAAUUCCUGGUGUAGCGGUGAAAUGCGCAGAUAUCCGGAGGAACACCAGUGGCGAAGGCGACUUUCUGGCCUGUUCUUGACGCUGAGGCGCGAAAGCUAGGGGAGCAAACGGG